This 393-nucleotide ribosomal RNA is filed under the name uncultured bacterium. RNAcentral describes it as "partial 16S ribosomal RNA". It matches the Rfam family "Bacterial small subunit ribosomal RNA", at positions 523 to 916 of the family's 1533-position model. The record is from RNAcentral.
AGACGUAGGGGGCCAGCGUUGCUCGGAAUUACUGGGUGUAAAGGGUUCGUAGGCGGUGUGGCAAGUCGGGAGUGAAAUCUCUGGGCUCAACUCAGGGGCUGCUUCCGAAACUGCCGUGCUAGAGUGUGGGAGAGGCGCGUGGAAUUGCAGGUGUAGCGGUGAAAUGCGUAGAUAUCUGCAGGAACACCCGUGGCGAAAGCGGCGCGCUGGACCACUACUGACGCUGAGGAACGAAAGCUAGGGGAGCAAACAGGAUUAGAUACCCUGGUAGUCCUAGCCCUAAACGAUCAGGACUUGGGGUGCCACCCGUUCGGGUGUCGUCCCGGAGCUAACGCGUUAAGUCCUGCACCUGGGGAGUACGGUCGCAAGACUGAAACUCAAAUGAAUUGACGG